UGGUGGGUAGUUUGACUGGGGCGGUCUCCUCCUAAAGAGUAACGGAGGAGCACGAAGGUUGGCUAAUCCUGGUCGGACAUCAGGAGGUUAGUGCAAUGGCAUAAGCCAGCUUGACUGCGAGCGUGACGGCGCGAGCAGGUGCGAAAGCAGGUCAUAGUGAUCCGGUGGUUCUGAAUGGAAGGGCCAUCGCUCAACGGAUAAAAGGUACUCCGGGGAUAACAGGCUGAUACCGCCCAAGAGUUCAUAUCGACGGCGGUGUUUGGCACCUCGAUGUCGGCUCAUCACAUCCUGGGGCUGAAGUAGGUCCCAAGGGUAUGGCUGUUCGCCAUUUAAAGUGGUACGCGAGCUGGGUUUAGAACGUCGUGAGACAGUUCGGUCCCUAUCUGCCGUGGGCGCUGGAGAACUGAGGGGGGCUGCUCCUAGUACGAGAGGACCGGAGUGGACGCAUCACUGGUGUUCGGGUUGUCAUGCCAAUGGCACUGCCCGGUAGCUAAAUGCGGAAGAGAUAAGUGCUGAAAGCAUCUAAGCACGAAACUUGCCCCGAGAUGAGUUCUCCCUGAGACUUAGAGUCUCCUGAAGGAACGUUGAAGACGACGACGUUGAUAGGCCGGGUGUGUAAGCGCAGCGAUGCGUUGAGCUAACCGGUACUAA
Molecule: ribosomal RNA, 651 nt
Filed under: Salmonella enterica
Lineage: Bacteria; Pseudomonadati; Pseudomonadota; Gammaproteobacteria; Enterobacterales; Enterobacteriaceae
Also listed under: 2 other names
Description: partial 23S ribosomal RNA
Rfam family: Bacterial large subunit ribosomal RNA
Source: RNAcentral